GAGAGUGUAAAAGUUUCCUUAUUGAAACCAUUGAUGGUCCUGAGACACCUGUACCAUAUAUACCAUAUGGUGUAGAUCGUGAAGAUAAACCCGAUGCAUAUGUACCAAGUACAGUUGCAUAUGUACCAAGUAAAGAUGCAUAUGUACCAAGUACAGUUGCAUAUGUACCAAAUGCAGAGGUUUCAACCCAAGCUCCAAAAGCGUUUCAUAGACACAGAUAGAUAGUAACAUUCUACAUGGUGAUUUCUAUACUUACAGUGAGUGAAGAUGAUUAUUUCUUUAAACAAUAUUGAUCGAAUACUGUAGAGGAUGGAAAUCCCCGAAAGAGGAUUAUAAAAUCCGCAAAUCAGUAGAAACAGAUAAGACCUACUCAUCUUCCUCUCCUUUAAGGCACUUUGUAUUCAUAAUGUAUUUCUAUCUGAAAGCAAUAAAUAAUCUUCUAAAAUAUAUAAUUAUGAAAUA
Eurytemora carolleeae is the source of this 462-nucleotide long non-coding RNA. RefSeq lists it as uncharacterized. The record is from RefSeq and is a predicted model, not a curated record. NCBI's taxonomy places the organism in Eukaryota, Metazoa, Arthropoda, Copepoda, Calanoida, Temoridae. The transcript has 3 exons.